GAGCGGCACCUGAAGGAGGAGGAGGAGGCGCUUCUGCUGAGAAAGCAGAAGGUGCAGGAGGACCAGGAGGAGGACAAGUGCUGUCACCCCAAGGAGGUGAAGAUGGAGCUGGAAGAGCAUCUUGAGAAGGUCAUGCAAGCCUGUGAGGUGGUGGAUCAGCUGGAGGUGGAGAAGGAGCAGCAGCAGCAGGCUCAGCUGGAGGAGGAGCCGGAGGUGCCCUCUCUGUCCCACCUCCAGGAGGAGGAAGGG
Molecule: long non-coding RNA, 249 nt
Organism: Trichosurus vulpecula (common brushtail)
Lineage: Eukaryota; Metazoa; Chordata; Mammalia; Diprotodontia; Phalangeridae
Exons: 3
Source: RefSeq, a predicted model, not a curated record